GACGAACGCUGGCGGCGUGCUUAACACAUGCAAGUCGAGCGGUAAGGCCCUUUCGGGGGUACACGAGCGGCGAACGGGUGAGUAACACGUGGGUGACCUGCCCUCAGCUCUGGGAUAAGCCUGGGAAACCGGGUCCAAUACCGGAUAUGACUCCAUGACGCAUGUUGUGGGGUGGAAAGCCUUGUGCGGCUGAGGAUGGGCCCGCGGCCUAUCAGCUUGUUGGUGGGGUGANGGCCUACCAAGGCGACGACGGGUAGCCGGCCUGAGAGGGCGACCGGCCACACUGGGACUGAGGCACGGCCCAGACUCCUACGGGAGGCAGCAGUGGGGAAUCUUGCGCAAUGGGCGAAAGCCUGACGCAGCGACGCCGCGUGAGGGAUGACGGCCUGG
This 390-nucleotide ribosomal RNA is filed under the name uncultured bacterium. RNAcentral describes it as "bacterial SSU rRNA". It matches the Rfam family "Bacterial small subunit ribosomal RNA", at positions 28 to 419 of the family's 1533-position model. The record is from RNAcentral.